Molecule: long non-coding RNA, 877 nt
Filed under: Trifolium pratense (red clover)
Lineage: Eukaryota; Viridiplantae; Streptophyta; Magnoliopsida; Fabales; Fabaceae
Description: long non-coding RNA (TPRA_LNC011807)
Source: RNAcentral
CAAAGGAGACAAUUUCCUCUAACUCUUUGUUUUGCUAUGACAAUUAAUAAAAGUCAAGGACAGUCGCUCUCCCAUGUCGGAAUUUACCUUCCUCGACUGGUAUUCACUCACGGUCAGUUGUAUGUUGUGAUGUCUAGAGUCAGGUCGAGAAAUGGACUCAAGUUGUUGAUUUUGGAUGAUGAACAAAAAGUUUGCACUUCAACCAAAAAUGUUGUGUAUCGUGAAAUCUUCACCAAUGUCUAGAAUUUUUUUAAGGUAUAAAUGUCUAGCUUUCCAAUCAUAUCUACUAAUAAUGAUGUUCAUUUCGAUCACCAUUGAAACAUUAUGCUACUGGGAUAUAUUUGUUUAGUAUUGGUUAUUUUCUUCUUAUAUUUAUCCCAAUUUUAUCCCUUUAAAGGUUGUUUAUUUUGAUUUCUCAUUGAGUUAAACAACAUAUGCAGUAAUCAACCUAUAACCAAAUAACAACAUCAACAAAUGAAGAAAACAUUUCAUAAGGCACAUAAUCCAACUAUUCUAUAAGCAAAUUAUAAUUACAUACCUUUACUCAAUUGGAUGACCCUUCUUCAGAUGCUCGCCACUUUAGAAAAUUUCUAACUCUCCAUCAGUUCAACAUCAUUUCCAGCCUCUCUCCACUGCUUCAUAACUUUGAUCUCCUCUCUAGCAUUAUAAGCAUCAGCACGUCUCCGGUUGAAUCAGGAAGAUCGUUAAUCGAACGAACUCCUCAUACCCACGCUUCACCUUCCUACGAAAUUGAAACAACCCUUAAGAACAGAAAAUGCACAAUUUUUGUCUAUUAUAAAGCAAUUGAUCAUUGAUUUCUCACAAAGAUUUACUAACUUCAACAUCAAAAUAAAAAUCCUCAAGAACAAAGCUUCAC